UGGGGAAUAUUGCACAAUGGGCGAAAGCCUGAUGCAGCGACGCCGCGUGAGGGAUGACGGCCUUCGGGUUGUAAACCUCUUUCAGCAGGGAAGAAGCGAAAGUGACGGUACCUGCAGAAGAAGCGCCGGCUAACUACGUGCCAGCAGCCGCGGUAAUACGUAGGGCGCAAGCGUUGUCCGGAAUUAUUGGGCGUAAAGAGCUCGUAGGCGGUUAGUCGCGUCUGCUGUGAAAACUCGAGGCUCAACCUCGGGCUUGCAGUGGGUACGGGCUGACUAGAGUGCGGUAGGGGUGACUGGAAUUCCUGGUGUAGCGGUGGAAUGCGCAGAUAUCAGGAGGAACACCGAUGGCGAAGGCAGGUCACUGGGCCGCAACUGACGCUGAGGAGCGAAAGCAUGGGGAGCGAACAGGAUUAGAUACCCUGGUAGUCCAUGCCGUAAACGUUGGGCACUAGGUGUGGGGUCCAUUCCACGGAUUCCGUGCCGCAGCAAACGCAUUAAGUGCCCCGCCUGGGGAGUACGGCCGCAAGGCUAAAACUCAAAUGAAUUGACGGGGUC
Molecule: ribosomal RNA, 555 nt
Filed under: uncultured bacterium
Lineage: Bacteria
Description: partial 16S ribosomal RNA
Rfam family: Bacterial small subunit ribosomal RNA
Source: RNAcentral